GAUGAACGCUGGCGGCGUGCCUAAUACAUGCAAGUCGAGCGAACGGACGAGAAUCUUUCUUCUCUGAUGUUAUCGGCUGACGUUUGAUUAACACGUUUAUAACCUACCUAUAAUACUUGUUUAACUUCGGGAAACCUUAUCUAAUACCGUAUAUUCUUUUUUACCUCUUUUUUCAAUAUUUUAUUACGUUCUUUCUUUCUCUUUUCGAUUUAUCCUCUCUGCAUUAGCUAGUUGUUAAGGUAACGUCUUACCAAGGCAACGAUGCAUAGCCGACCUGAGAGGGUGAUCGGACACACUGGAACGGAGACACGGUACAGACUACUACGGGAGGCAGCAGUAGGGAAUAUUCCGCAAUGGGCGAAAGCAUGACGGAGCAAAGCCGCGUGAGAGAUGAAGGUCUUCGGAUCGUAAAACUCUGUUAUGAGGGAAGAACAGAUGUGUAAGUAAAUGUGAACAGAGUGACGGUAACUAAUCAGAAAGCAACGGCUAACUACGUG
RNAcentral lists this ribosomal RNA (497 nucleotides) under uncultured bacterium. RNAcentral describes it as "partial 16S ribosomal RNA". It matches the Rfam family "Bacterial small subunit ribosomal RNA", at positions 28 to 507 of the family's 1533-position model. The record is from RNAcentral.